GUGGGUGACACUACUUUACUUUAUGACAGUGACAGUCCACAGGUAGGACAAUGACAGCCAUAGCAAAAGCAGAGAGAAGCUGAAGCCUGUGCAGAGCUCAGUGCUGGAAGGAACGGAGACAAUGAGGUCACUUCAGGAGUGGCCUGGCAGCUCCUCAAGAGAGGAGAGCUUGGACAGACUGAAACUGGAUUCUCGAGUUCUCUGCAGGAUUAACUCACGUGCCCAGCGAGGGCACUGGGAAACACAGUGGCUUCCUGCUCACCCGUCCUGUCCCCAAGCAGCCUCUCUAUAUGGCUAGGCUAGGACAAAAAAUGUGCCAGUUGAAAACAGCAUGGUGGUCUCAAGGUAGUCUAGCUGUUGUGUCGUCUCAGGGUUCUCUGAAGAAGGCACAUCCAAAGA
RNAcentral lists this long non-coding RNA (399 nucleotides) under Cricetulus griseus (Chinese hamster). Its description in RNAcentral is "lncRNA (ENSCGRG00015030141.1)". The record is from RNAcentral. Lineage: Eukaryota; Metazoa; Chordata; Mammalia; Rodentia; Cricetidae.